Molecule: transfer RNA, 88 nt
Filed under: Phycisphaerae bacterium
Lineage: Bacteria; Pseudomonadati; Planctomycetota; Phycisphaerae
Also listed under: 1 other name
Description: tRNA-Ser
Rfam family: tRNA
About the family: Transfer RNA (tRNA) molecules are approximately 80 nucleotides in length. Their secondary structure includes four short double-helical elements and three loops (D, anti-codon, and T loops). Further hydrogen bonds mediate the characteristic L-shaped molecular structure. tRNAs have two regions of fundamental functional importance: the anti-codon, which is responsible for specific mRNA codon recognition, and the 3' end, to which the tRNAs corresponding amino acid is attached (by aminoacyl-tRNA synthetases). tRNAs cope with the degeneracy of the genetic code in two manners: having more than one tRNA (with a specific anti-codon) for a particular amino acid; and 'wobble' base-pairing, i.e. permitting non-standard base-pairing at the 3rd anti-codon position.
Source: RNAcentral
GGAGAGGUGUCCGAGUGGCCUAAGGAGCACGCUUGGAAAGCGUGUGUACGGAUUUCCCGUACCGCGGGUUCGAAUCCCGCCCUCUCCG